Molecule: long non-coding RNA, 3996 nt
Organism: Ictalurus punctatus (channel catfish)
Lineage: Eukaryota; Metazoa; Chordata; Actinopteri; Siluriformes; Ictaluridae
Exons: 3
Source: RefSeq, a predicted model, not a curated record
AAAAAAACGCGGAAGAUAGCGUCGGCUCUUUUUAAGUAUUAAACCUUGGUUAAACUGGACUUGUUUAAUAAUACCAGAAUAAAUUGUUAACUUGUUUAAGAUUGUUGUGUUUAUGGUGACGUCGAAGGUCACAUGACAAUGCUAACAUGGCCGAUGUAGUAUGUAUUUGGCCGGGAUUGUGUUCAUAACACACACAGAUUAGUACGAAUGUCAUAGUAUGCGAUUUUGGACGCACCACGAUGACGUCGAUUUGUAAGCAGUGUCUGUGUUUUAAGUCAUCAAUUCUUGAGGAAUUGAUAGUGUUACAUGCAGUAAACUGAAAAACUACACGUCCUGGUAGCACCAGCUAAAAUAGCUAAUUUUCUCAAAGUUCAUCUAUGGCAGUAACCAUGGUGACCAGUGUAAUCUUUUUCAUUUCCUUUUUAGCGUUUUUAUGCAAUUAUCUAAAUAACUAGCUAGCUAAAGAUGAGACAGUUGCGUCUAUUGCAGGCUCAGCUGGGAUUCGCAUACGAAAAUAGAUUACGAAUAAACUGAAACAAGUUUUUCAGCCUUGAAAGCAGUAUUGAAAACAGUCGUAAAAAUCGGGUAGGAAUAAAUAUCCUCACAGAGAUUAAUCCAGGGGUGUUUUGCAGGAGGUGGGCAGAAUCCAAACUUUAUGAAUUUAUCAUCUACAGUAUCCGGUUUAUCCUGAAUAUUCCUCAAUGACGCAGCUGUAAACAAACUGAAUAUGUUGUGUUCACAUGCUUUGUUGUCUGAGAGAACAUGGAACUUUGGGUGCUUCUCAUUUCUUAUUUGUGCAUCCUCACUUCCUUUCCUUGCAUCUCAGCUCCACCCCCUUAAAAUGCGAAGGAAGGAUGCAAGGAUGAGAUCUGGGGAGAGGAAUCAACACAAGUCGAAUGGGUUGCUUCUCAUUUCUUAUUUGUGCAUCCUCUUUUCCUGUCCUUGCAUCUCAGCUCCACCCACUUAGGAUGUGUGGGAAGGAUGCAAGGAUGAGAUCUGAGGAGAGAGGAAUUGGAGCAAGUCAAAUGGAAUAUCUUCACUCUCUCGAGCAUCACUUCAAAGCGACGUCACUUAAUGAUGACUGGGCUCAGCUGAAUGACCUCACUGUGCUUCAGGGAUCUGCUGUUAUGUUGUUGGAGCUCGGCUAAAUGCACUGAUAACGUAAAGGAGGAGGGGAAUUUAUACAUGCGUGAGGUUUUUCGACAAGAAGCACUUCUGCAUAGGAUACACCUGUGUAUCCUUGCCCCUAGCUCCUCUGGAAGCUUCCUCACGCCUCGUUCCUCGCCCUCUCACGGUGCAGUUAGAGAAUUGAGAUGUCCUUCAAGAUGGUUGACUGUGAUCAAUUUCCGGGUCACGGGCUGGAGGACAGAGGAGUGAGGAAACGAGGAAGCGUCAAUUUGAGUAUUGUGAAGCACCCCUGGAGGACACCAAGUUCAUUCAUACAUAUUUCUUGUUUCAUUCUCUUUUUUUUUUUUUACUUUUAAUUUGACACCAUAACACGUAUUACGCCAUUAGCUAGCUUGCUGACGAUAAUGGAAUUUUGGUCAAAUACAAGCUAUUUUCACAGGUGUAAAAAUGUACAACAUGCAUUGAAUGCUUGCCAAUAUACAUAAAUGAAUAUGACCAAAACGACAAGUACUAACAAUUAGCUGCCUUUAGAAAAAAGAACAAAGCCUUUCAUUCAGUACAGAAACUGUACUCUCCUUCCAUCUCGGAAACUCGGGUAUCAAAAUUAUCUCUGAGUUUCCCAGUCGUAAUUACGACUUGAGGAGUCAUUCAUGUGCAACUUCCUAGUGUGAAACUCGUAUUUCGAUCAUUUCGAUAUCACGUGAAGACAGCAUCAUUAAACUCAGGGUGGGAUUUAGGGAGGUGUUGUGGUUGGAUCCACCCCCGACGCUCCACCCAAGCCUUUUUAAGACUUUUUUCCCAUUAUUUUGUGCAUUCAUUAAAUUACAUGUAUCAGAUAAACUUGGGGGGGGGAUCAUGCUGAAAUAGCCCACAGUAUUUACUAGUCUACAUUUUUACACUACACUAUAUGGCCAGAUGUGUAUGUGGACACCCCUCCUAAUGAAUGAGUUCGGGUGUUUCAGCCACACUCAUUGCUAACAAUAGUGUAUAAAAUCAAGCACAUAGCCAUGCAAUCUCCAUAGCCGAAUUUCUGCCCUGCUAGAUCUAGCCUUUAGAAAUGUUAUUUUCUGUGAACAUAUUUAUUAUAUGUAUUGGUAUAUUAAUCAUAGCAAAAGUAAAUCAUGUGAAUGAGGAAAAAACGAUUGGAGCAGUAGGCAUAAAGAGCAGGAAAAUACAGGGAAAAUCCUUUACCUAAGAUUUUUGUUUAAAAAAAAAAGAAAAAAAAGCCUUCCAUUCUUCACUGAGGUUGAGAUAAUUAACUGAUCUCAUGAAAAGGCUUGCCAAAAGCUGGUUUCCCAUGAGGAAACCAAAAUACAGACCAUUUGAAGUUGCCAAGGCCAUUAAAUGUUUUUCCACAGUAGAAUAAAAAGCAGACUAUUAUUGCUCUGAAGGGUUUAUGAAGAGUAACCCCAGCUUCAGUAUUCAGAAGCCUGAGAAAGUCUUUCCAAGAUUAAAUGAAAAACAAGAAAAGAAAAAUCGAAUCAGAUACACAUUUCACUUGUAAACAUAAUGUGCAUUUUUGCUUGAGAUACACAUGGAAUAAAACAUGAUGGCUAGUGUUGUUACAGGAAAAUAAUCCAUGCCCAGGACGUGACACCAUCCCCAAAAUGGUUUCAGAUCACCCGGAAAUGGAUUGUUUUCACAAAGCAGCCCGCCCCAAAGGGUUUCAUUCCAAAUAUACCACAGCAAUUUGCCAACAAUUAUAAUUUUUUCAUUUAUUGAUGAAUGAUACAUCAUGUUUUUCAAAGCUUUAUAGCAUUUAAUGUUAUGGGACAUCCAUGAGAAAGCUUAUUUCCUGUUAUUUUUCCCUGGUUUUCUUGUUCAAUCCUGAGAUCGUGUAUACUGUAUGUGUGGAGUUUCACAUGUUCUCGCUAUGUCCAUGUUGGCUAUGGCUAUGUACUCCUGCAUCACUAAUUCUUUUGGGAUUGGCUACAGAUCCACCGUGACCCUAACAAUUAUAAGGAUUUGGAUGACUAAACAAAUGAAUAUGAGUAGAUCUUGUAAAAACAAAUGAUACAGUAUGGAUUAUAAUAGUACACUGUAAAAAAUGCUGGGUUGAACAUUUUGGGUCAUUGAAUUGGGUUAUUUUCUCAGUUUUGGGAUAGUUUUGUGUAACCCAAAUGUUGAGUUAAUAGCUGGGUCAUUUUCACUGACAGCUGAACCAAUGCACCCCUCUCGGACUCUGAUGCCUCAGCCCAGCUCCUUGGGUCAAAUGAACUCAGUGCGGACUGUUUGACUUCGCCUCAGGUGAAUGGUUUUUGAGAUGAGGAAACCAAACGACCACAGCUUUUCAAAUGGAUGGGAGCGGGACUCUUGUCUUCCCAGAUGGCAGGGAGAUUUGUAAGAAGAUGCAUGAACUCCAAUUCUUACAUCUUACAAAUGUUUAAAUGGUUUUAAUAAAUGUCACCUGAAUUUCAUGCAAUUGUUUGUUUAUUUUGUGAGUAUUUUAGUAAAAUUUUAACAUGCAAACAAACUGCAUUUUAGGAUAAUUGUAGGGAAAAAUGUAUAAACAACACAUCUGCGUUAUUUGUGGAAAUGUUUAACACAGCAUGUUUGAGUGAAGAUUCGUAGCAAUAUAUUUAUCCAUAAAACCGUUAGUGUACACUAGAAAAGCAAAACUGUAGGAUAACAGUCCAGUUUACAUGACACUAAAUGCACUGCUAUCUUCAUUAGCAUUAGCUAACUUGUUUGUAAUGCUCACUGAAUCGUAAGUUGGUUACUCCGUUGUUGUUUUUUUGAUGUUUUAAACGUCUCCUUUGAUCAAACUCUGACAUUUUCAUUUUAAAGAUAUGACUUUUUGAGUCAUUUACUCCAAAGUAUAUAUAUAAACACUACUUUAGCAGCUCUAGCAAUGUAUUUCUGAACACC